RNAcentral lists this ribosomal RNA (253 nucleotides) under uncultured bacterium. RNAcentral's name for it is "partial 16S ribosomal RNA". It matches the Rfam family "Bacterial small subunit ribosomal RNA", at positions 524 to 776 of the family's 1533-position model. The record is from RNAcentral.
UACAGAGGGUGCGAGCGUUAAUCGGAAUUACUGGGCGUAAAGCGUGCGUAGACGGUUACGUAAGUUAGGUGUGAAAGCCCCGGGCUCAACCUGGGAAUUGCAUUUAAGACUGCGUAGCUAGGGUGCGGAAGAGGGAAGCGGAAUUUCCGGUGUAGCGGUGAAAUGCGUAGAUAUCGGAAGGAACAUCAGUGGCGAAAGCGGCUUCCUGGUCCAGCACCGACGUUCAGGCACGAAAGCGUGGGGAGCAAACAGG